AUGGCCCUUGUGAAGGCGGCUGCGAGCUGGCGCUCCUGGAUCACACAUGACACCACUUCGGUGAAGGUGCAAGCUUUCACGGCAAGCAGCGGGGUUCCAUGUGAGGACAGUCGGCAAAGCUUCCCGGUGAUGUUGCGGGUCACGGCGGAGGGGGAGGCUGCCGGCUCCAAGCCGCCGCGGCACGUCGGUGCGGACAUCGUCGCCGUGCUAGACAUCAGCGGGAGCAUGCUGGGGGACAAGCUGGAGCGCAUGAAGGAGGCCAUCACAAACGUCAUCGACAAACUCGGCACCAACGACCGGCUCUCCAUCGUAUCCUUCGAGUCCAAUGUGUACCGCCUUACGGAGCUCACAUACAUGUCUGAGCAAGGCCGGAGAGCCGCCCGGGACAAGAUCAAUGAGCUCUUCACCAAAGGCGGCACCAAUAUGGGCCCGGCUCUGCAUGAGGGAGCUCAGAUUCUGCGGGGGCGUCCAGCUGAGGAAAUGAGCAGCCGUGUAGGCUGCAUUGUGUUCCUGUCGGAUGGUUUGGACAGUGGUAUCUUUGAGGCAACUAUUAGCCCCGAUUUCCCAGCGCACACCUUCGGCUUGGGCAAGGACCACGACCCCAUGGCCAUGAAGCACAUCGCCGACAAGACCUCCGGCACCUACUCCUACGUCAACAAGGACACUAAGAGGAUCAACUAUGCCUUCCAACUAUUCAUUGCCGGCGUCACAUCUGUAUCUGUGACAUCCGUCGAGAUCACCCUUGGGACUCCUUAUGGCAUCCUCAUAUCGUCUAUCGAGUCCGGAGGCUACUCCAACAAAAUGAGCUCUGACGGGCGGUCCGGCACGAUACACAUCGACAACAUGUAUGCCGGCGACAGGAAGAACUUCAUCGUCUUCCUGGAGCUGCCAGCCACGAAACAGGAGGGUAAGCAGAAGGUGCUGACCGUCGGCGGCCACUACCAGGGCCUCAGUGUUGUGAGCAAGAAGCUGACCGGCACUGAUGUGUCUGUCAUGCGACCACUUAAGAAAUUUUCCGACAGGCUAGUUAAUGACCCUGAUGUGGCAGAAGAGGUCGCACGGACCAAGUUGUUGAAGGACAUCGGGAAACUCUUUCAGCAACAACCACCCAAUCUUUCCGGAGGAAUGCCAAACAUAUAUGACUCUUUUGUGGUCUCCCCGGAGGGCCUUCAAGCCCCCAAAACCUUGAAAAGCUUCGAGGGGGAUUAUAACAAGAUGAUGAUGGGCAUCGGCGACCCCAAAAUGCACAAAAUAUUAGGGCUGCCUUACAUAUUGUCAUGGCUAUCUUCCCAUAGUUGGCAACGUGCAACCACCAUGGACGACCCCUGCGACACUCCUUUCAGAACCCCAGGGCAAAAAGUCGUCCAGGAUGCCAGCACUUUUGUUGCUGUUGGUGGUGGCAGUGGUGCUACUACUACUGGUAGUGGCGGUACUACUGCUGCUACAUCUAGAUGGGAAAAGAUCAUCGCAAGGGCGAAGAGCAACCCUUGCUCUUGCUUGCUGCCGAGUGUUGCCGUGACACUUGCGGUGGCCUCACUCUUUUUGGCGAUGCUCUAUUCUACACUCGAGGGAAGCCCCAAUCCGGCGAUGAAAUUAGGCCCACUGCAGUAUCCGAUGCUCACGGAGAGCAACUAUGCUGCUUGGGCCAUCAAGAUGGAGGCAUACAUGCGCGCUCAAGGGGUUUGGGAUGCUGUCGGAGCCAAAGACCAUCCCAAAGUUUCGGCAAGGAAGAACCAAAUGGCGUUGGCUGCCAUUUACCAGGCUAUCCCGGAGGGCACACUUUUCCUGCUAUCCCAGAAGAAGACAGCCAAGUCGGCGUGGGAGGCGCUCAAGACCAUGCACAUCGGAGACCAGCGCCUGAGGGAUGCCAAGCUGCAAACCCUCAAGCUGGAGUUUGAGGCGUUGCGCAUGAAGGAGACGGACUCCAUCGACGACUUCGCCGUCCGGCUGACGACGGUCGUCAACAAGAUCCACACACUCGGUGAACGCAUCGAGGAGCCCUACACCGUCAAGAAGUUCCUCCGCGCCGUCCCCAACAAGCACAUCCAGAUUGCUUCGACCAUCGAGCAAUUUGGCGACCUCAACACCAUGACACUCCAGGAGGUUAUUGGGCGGCUCAAGGUGCAUGAGGAGCGCCUAGGACGACUCGGUGCUACCGAGAAGGAGAAUGAGUUGUUGACACGCGCUGAGUGGAUAGCGAGGGAAGAGGCUGAUCAGUUCAGCCAUGAUGCAACCAAGGUAUAUGCUUCGGUUGCCAAGAUCCUCCUCCAUGACGCCAAGAAGGAGAAUGAGUUGUUGAUGCAUGCUGAGUGGAAAGCGAGGGAAGUAGUUGAUCAGCUCAACCAUGAUGCACCCAAGGUAUAUGCUUCAGUUGCCAAGAUCCUCCUCGGCAGGAGCGGGGGAGGCUAUGGCGGUGACACAUACCGGGUAAGCGCUUCCAUUGCCAAGAUUUUGGACACUUUGCUUACAAGUGCCGCGAGGAAGGAAAGGGAGGUGAAAUCCCUGAUCGGUGAAGCUCACGGUGACAAUGAAGUAACUCUUCGCCUCUGA
This 2550-nucleotide ribosomal RNA is filed under the name Triticum aestivum (bread wheat). RNAcentral describes it as "partial small subunit ribosomal RNA". Lineage: Eukaryota; Viridiplantae; Streptophyta; Magnoliopsida; Poales; Poaceae. The record is from RNAcentral.